This 755-nucleotide long non-coding RNA is filed under the name Salvia miltiorrhiza (redroot sage). RNAcentral's name for it is "long non-coding RNA (SMIL_LNC006974)". Lineage: Eukaryota; Viridiplantae; Streptophyta; Magnoliopsida; Lamiales; Lamiaceae. The record is from RNAcentral.
GCAGUCUGUAAACAAAGUGUAAACAAAGAAUAAUCAGUGCAAUUUAAUGAGUAAUUGCACACUUAAUUGAANAAAAAAAAUUCUCGAAAACCAGAAUCAUAAUAGAAUCAAUUAAGCAACAGGUUGUCGGCGUCGAACUCUGGCUUUUUACUUAAGUCCUGAUAAACUCUUGAUGCUUGAACCACAAUAUUCCCUUUCACUUUAUUGCCAUCCCAAUUGAUCAUUGCCGCACCAUAACGUACACGCAUUAUCCGCAACUGUCUUUGCGGUGUCGAUAAGAACUGACACUUCCAACUAGCACUCGCGUCGCCCAUAAACAUCUCCAAAUGCCUCAUUAGAUACAAGCCAGUAUCUAUAGUGUUAUGUGGAUCUGCCCAUUUCAUCUUCACAACAUGCAUCUUUGAAUUCAUCACUAUCUUUGCUUUCUGCUCUUCAUUAUUGUAUUUUAGUAAAUCCGACAAAAGUUUUUUCUGCAAUACAGAUACAUAAUAAUAAGUUUAAUCAAACAUAAACAUGAUUUUGAAUAGACAUAAAAAUAAUGUUAGAAACUUACAAAAGUAUUGCACACUUCCUCAUAUAUGUCAUUUUCUUCAUUAGCAGUAAUGUCCAGUGCACUAUCCAACACAAACACACGUCCCUUCCGAAGAUCCACACACACGGCAUAGUAUAAACCUUUUCUGUAUACUGGGAAAAAGUACUGUAAUAUGAAAAUAAUUAAGAACCCGAUAUUGAUAAUACAUAAUAAUACCACAACU